RNAcentral lists this ribosomal RNA (253 nucleotides) under uncultured bacterium. Its description in RNAcentral is "partial 16S ribosomal RNA". It matches the Rfam family "Bacterial small subunit ribosomal RNA", at positions 524 to 776 of the family's 1533-position model. The record is from RNAcentral.
UACAGAGGGUGCGAGCGUUAAUCGGAAUUACUGGGCGUAAAGCGCGCGUAGGCGGCUUUUCAAGUCGAUUGUGAAAUCCCCGGGCUUAACCUGGGAACUGCAGUCGAGACUGUCUAGCUAGAGUAUGGGAGAGGGAAGUGGAAUUUCAGGUGUAGCGGUGAAAUGCGUAGAUAUCUGGAGGAACACCGGUGGCGAAGGCGGCAUCCUGGACCGAGAUUGACGCUGAGGCGCGAAAGCCAGGGGAGCGAACGGG